CUAAUCAGCUUGUCAAGGAUACUAUCAGACUAGGGACCGGGAGACGUUUGGGGUAUUCUUGGGGUAGGGGUAAAAUCCUUUAAUCCCAAGAAGACCACCUGUGGCGAAGGCGCCNAACGAGAACGGGUCCGACAGUGAGGGACGAAAGCUAGGGGAGCGACCGGGAUUAGAUACCCCGUUAGUCCUAGCUGUAAACGAUGCCUGUUUGGUGUUGCGGGUCCUUCGUGGAUGCGCAGUGCCGGAGCGAAGGCGUUAAACAGGCCACCUGGGAAGUACGUCCGCAAGGAUGAAACUUAA
RNAcentral lists this ribosomal RNA (297 nucleotides) under uncultured archaeon. RNAcentral describes it as "partial 16S ribosomal RNA". It matches the Rfam family "Archaeal small subunit ribosomal RNA", at positions 563 to 859 of the family's 1478-position model. The record is from RNAcentral.